CAGAGAACACCCAAUUUCCCAUUAAGCCUCCCCCGCCCUACCCGAACGCCAGGCAGAGUCUUCCCCUGCUUGUCACCUGGUUGGGAACCUUUAGAGGCAGCUCAUCUUUGCAUCUCCCCAUCACAGGGAGCAGUGGUUUUGGUACCCACAGGACUUAGCCUUUGGUUUGCAUCUGUCCUUCAGAGGAGGAGGAUACAGAGGCUGGUUUUGAGAUUAUUUGGAGCUGGUGAUCAGUGAGGUCUCUUUAAGCUGAUUGAGCCAACUGUGCUGACUUAGUCAGUUAACCUAGAUAAAUACCACUCUGAGUUUUCUUUUUUCAUUUAAGAAAAAUAGUGUCAGAGUACAGGAUGGACUCCCCCAGUGGGAGAGCUGACACCAUGUAAAUGAUUCAUUAGCAGAUGCUUUAGCUGAACCUCAGCUGUUUUCACCAGUGACGUCGAUGUGACGGAGAUAUUUGUUCAGGUGAUGGGACUUGAGUGGGCCUUGGGCCAGACCUCCACCCCCAGGGACCACCCUUCUAGCACUGAAAGGCAAUAGUCUUCACACUGGCUGAAUCCUGUAUUUUCUCAAUCCUCCAAAUCCGACCAACUUCUCUAAAUUGUACUGCAAGGUUUUGGCAGCCAGAGCUCCCACUCCUUGCCACCAUCCCACCGCCACCACUGGAGGUGCUGAAGGCCAAGUACAAGCCAUCCGGGUGGAAACCUGUAUUUGAAGGUCUGCACCGCGGGGCAAAGGGCCAGCUUGUUCCCUCUGCAACUGGAUGAGCUGAAUUGGCAGCAGACAACCAGCGUUUCUCAGGAAGCUGUACCAACAAGAUGCAAAAGGGAGAGGUGGAGCAGAGGAGGGCAGUUCAUGAGCUGAUUGUGCUAAGCCCUGUCAAAUAAUCCUUUAGAAACCCGAUGCUGACCCUUUGAUGGAGCUACUACUGAGCAGUCACAUGCCCUGAAGUUGGUCACUUUCUACCCAGAGCAUCGUGUUAAUGCACAUAGAUUCUGCAACACAGGCUACAAAGAUUCAAAGACAGCUUUGCUGUUUGCUAGCUUUGUGACCUCAAGCAAGUUACUGAAAUUCCUGUCCCUCCGUUACUGCAUCCAUAAAAGGGCAGUUGCAAAACUAGUACCUGCCUCAUCAGGGUGUUGUGGGGUUGAAAGUGAAUUAAUAUGUGUUCGGUCUCGAGGUCAGUGCCUGUUGCAUAAGCACUUUGUAUCUGUUAUUAUUGCCUUCAAAACUCUCUUCACUGUCUGUGUACGACUUUCCAGCGUCUUGCAUAGAUUAAGUGUUUAAUAAAUAUCUCUUCAUGACAUUUUA
This 1308-nucleotide long non-coding RNA is filed under the name Homo sapiens (human). RNAcentral's name for it is "HSALNT0353347". Lineage: Eukaryota; Metazoa; Chordata; Mammalia; Primates; Hominidae. The record is from RNAcentral.